This is a non-coding RNA of Desulfobacula toluolica Tol2, 188 nucleotides long. The record is from Rfam. NCBI's taxonomy places the organism in Bacteria, Pseudomonadati, Thermodesulfobacteriota, Desulfobacteria, Desulfobacterales, Desulfobacteraceae.
GUACCGGCGACGGUGUUUCGGAAGGAAGCCGCCCUGCCGAGGCAGGGUACCGCAAAGGUACGGAGUGACGCACAGAAAUCGGGCACAAGGCGUCCACACCGGGACGAGUCUGCACAACAAGACGAAGUCCUCUAUCCAUUAUAGGGUGUGUCCGUAAACCCGGCACUCACGUACCGAAAGACAUGUGC